Molecule: ribosomal RNA, 103 nt
Filed under: Felis catus (domestic cat)
Lineage: Eukaryota; Metazoa; Chordata; Mammalia; Carnivora; Felidae
Source: RNAcentral
GUCUACAGCCAUACCACCCUGAAUGCACUCGAUUUCGUCUGAUCUCAGAAGCUAAGCAGGGUUGGGCCUGGUUAGUACUUGGAUGGGAGAAAGGUUAUAAAUU